Molecule: long non-coding RNA, 1290 nt
Organism: Solanum stenotomum
Lineage: Eukaryota; Viridiplantae; Streptophyta; Magnoliopsida; Solanales; Solanaceae
Exons: 4
Source: RefSeq, a predicted model, not a curated record
UCCGUUUGGAACAACAAACACUAAUAUUGUCAAAUUUCUGGGUUUGUUCACUUUGUUGUUAGAGAAAUCAGGGGAACGAUCUACACAAUCUACAGGUGAAUCAGCUCUCACCUACAGUUAGAGAAAAUUCAACAGCUUGGAGGAUAUGGUGCUUCUCUCUAGUUCUGUUAGAGGUUUGGGGAUUCUCGAUUUCCAUCUUCCCACAUUUUAUCAGCCGUACGUCUCUCUCAGUUCAAAAUAAUGAGCUUUAGUUUGUUGGAGGAAAAUUAGCAAGAAGAUAAGAUCCAAAGCUUGCGUCAAUUUCUAGAACACAUUCUAAUUUGUUGUAAAGAGAAUCGUUCUUGUUUCUUACUUCUAGUCGGCUUAUGGGUCUAUUGGAUGAUUGAGUAUUCUUCUCUUUGGGCUUCUCUUCAUACUGCUCAUCUUCACCUUGCUGCGACUAAUAAUCUGGAAACAUUCUUGAAGCUUCUCUUCAUACUGCUCAUCUUCACCUUGCUGCGACUAAUAAUCUGGAAACAUUCUUGAAGGUAAGUUUGGAUGCUUAUAACUAUGAAUUUAUUUGUGAAAUGCCUCUUUUUUCUCAAAUCUGAACUUGUACUGUAUGUUUACAUAUCAGUUUUUUUUUUCUGUUUUGGUGUUUGUGUGGUUGAGCAUAUUAGUAGUAAGCAUAUAUAUAUGUUGAAUGCCCUAAUGUGAGAACUCUUGUUAGUAUACUUGAUUGAAAAUAAAAUGAGGUGAGAUGAUGACUGUUAUUGUAGAAAAGUGAUUUGCAUCUCAUUCUGUAAAGAAUGGAUUGCAACUGAAUCUUGGAAGCAAGUUGUUGUUUUUAUUGACUUGAAUAGCAGUAGGAAAUAGGAAGAAAAAUUCUCGUUUAAGUGCACUAAUACCACAUGUUAAAUAACUACCAAGUGAAUAAGUAUAUUUCAAAUAACAAUAUUCAUUCUUUGUGCAUGUAGUUUGUUUUUUUCCCAUUCUAUGAUGAAGUCCUUCUGCUUAAACAAGACUAUUUUUUCAUCUUUUCCAUUUAUCCUUAACUUGUCUCCUACUGUCUUGAUUGUAUUUCCACAUUAAUGAAAUGAAAUAGGCCUGCUUCUAGUUGGAUUAAUGUGAAAAUGUGUGCCUAUUAUUUUGUCUCUUGCGAUAGCUUUUGUGAAUGGAAACUAAUAUAGUGUUUCAAGAGAUUUUGGAGUAUGAAAGUUCAUUCUAAAAAUUAAAAAGAGAGCUGAAAGAUUGCUGCAAAAAUGAAUACAAUGUAAUCUUUUAGGACUGAAAGGUUUAGUGUAAGUAAAU